Molecule: long non-coding RNA, 2574 nt
Filed under: Lytechinus variegatus (green sea urchin)
Lineage: Eukaryota; Metazoa; Echinodermata; Echinoidea; Temnopleuroida; Toxopneustidae
Description: uncharacterized LOC121413343
Source: RNAcentral
AUAUAUAUACAUCAUUUUAAACAUUACAUUAUAUUCAUAUUAGUAUAAUCAUUUUUUUUAUAUAUAUACAUGAAUGGAGCAUCUUAAGCUCUAAGAGCUUGAAAAUGAUGUUCCAUGAGAAAAAAGAAUACAAAGAUACAUAAUUAUACAUUGGCUAAAAUAAUAUAUUCAAUGAUGCGAACAUCAACAAAGAGUAAAAAGAAGAGCAAGAGAGAUAGAGUGAGGGGUGAAAAGAACAGAGUGGGAAGGAAAGAACUGAAUAGAAAGAGAGAAAUAUGAGAAUUUUUAACAAUAUAUAACAAGCCAUGUUUGAUAACGAAGACUCGUUCGUGAGGUAUUUUGUUUGCAUAAUAAAUAUAAACAAUAGUAAAACAAAAAUGAAUUUCAUAUGUGUGGUGGUACAUUAUGUAACCAUGCAGUGGUAAUAAACAUACAUGACAUUAUUAUCAGCCUUGCGUUUCAUAUUUUGAAAUAAGGAAAUUUUGAACUUGCCUCUUGAAGGAAUUUUUUGUUGGGCAUGAACGAAUAUAAUAGAAAGGGAAUUCCAAAUGUCGGGGCCAGUAUGUCGAAUAGAUCUAUGGGCAAGAGCUGUUCUUGGGUUGAGGUUCGGGUUUGGGGAACAAUGGGUUUGAAUGAGCUCGACAGUCUGAGUUUGUACAAAUACGAACAGCUUUUUUCUGAAGAAAUAAAGAGUUGAUUUUUUUUUUGACAAGCCCAUACAACAUUACGAUAUGAAAUAUAAGGCAGUAUGAUACAAUUAUAUAUAGUAAAUAAUGUUUGGCGAGGAAUAAACCAUCUGACCUUAUAUAAUACACAGACUCCACGUGAAACCGAAGUAACAAUAUUAGCUAUAUGUGUAUUCCAGUUUAAUUUACCAUCGACAGUUACACCUAGAAACUUUGUUUCUUUCUGAUCGAUCUUCAUAUUAUCAAUGAAAAUAUCAUAGGACCGAAUAUUAAUAUUGGAAUAUAUAUAUUAUAUUUAUAUAAAUAUAAAUACUUGACACAAGACCACAUAUAAUAUUUCCAUCAUAUAGACUGGUAGAUAGAAAUAUUAGGACACUAUACCAAGCAUUUCCCAACUGGGUUUCAACUAGGACCAACAAACCACUUUUGUCCAUGAAUUUAGAAUAUAUAUCUACAUAAACAAAAUUGUUACUUCCCAAAGUUUAGUUUAAUUCCUCAACUUGAUAACAUUACAUGAUAUUUAGUCAGAAUCCUUUUUAAAAAAAAUCAAACUCUGCAGGUCCAAAAAUUCUCAACAUUAAUAAUUAUUAUUCGUUACAAUUUUGUGGCAUCCAUGGUCCACCCAUAAAUAUUUGUGAACAAGUGUGACAUGUGAAAAUGCUAAAAGAUAAAAUAAUUCGAGAAAAAAUCAUAAGUAUUCAAAGAGGAUUUCAGUAGUGGGAUAGAGGGUGCUUAAAAUCUUAACUGCUGGUUUGAGAAAUGUAUGUUUAUAAUCAGCUAAACAUCAAGACAAAAUUUGGAGUGUCCUUGAAUUUUAAUCGAAUUCAAAAUUGACCAUUAUGUGCGAUGCUGUUCACUGAUUGGGCUAUUCUUGGGUAAUGAUAUAUCUAGUCACUUAUGUCACCAUUCAUUGCCUGCCAUAUACUAACAUGUUUAAAUGAACCUUUUUCCACAUUUGGGGGAUAUAAAAAAUGAAUAAAUCUAUUUAAAAAUUUCAUUAUUAUUUCAACAAAUUUUAAUACUAAUUUUUGUGGGCAAAAGCAGUCUAUAGUUUUUUUUAAAUAUUUUCCUAAACUGCUGAUAUAAGAGCUUGUAACAUUGAAUUUUAAAUUUUGAGUUUUAAAAUUAAAGUAUGUGCAUUAGUAAAUUUUACAAGUGUCCCUAAAUCCGCUUACCAUUUAUUCAGGGAUCAUACUUUAGUAAUAAUGAGAUUUAUGUGAAGGGAGAAUAAAAAGAUAAAAAUGAGCAUGAAAGUUUGAAGGAAAUUUCGACAAGGAAUGAGAAGUACAUGUAUUAAAGGGCACUUUGAAAAAUAAGAACACGACAUGUAUACAAAUCUCAAAUUGGCAACUUGGUUUCUCAAUGUUAAAAAUUUACCGCUACCUGGACAAUACAACAUGCAUGCUGUGUUCCAAAAUUACUUUAAUUUCUCUGAAUCACCUUACUGAAAUAAACUUCUAAAAAAAGUUUUGAAAUCUCAUUUUGUUCAACUAUAUUGAUCUGGCUCUAAAGGCCUGAUCACAAGUCAAAAGCUGAAAAACCUGCAAUAUGUCUGAAGUUUCAUAAAUCAUCUACGGUUUGGAUUAAAAUCUGAGUUUGAUUAUUGCUCUCUUAUCCCAGCAAUAAUCCAUGCAUGUUUGAUUUUAAUUAAGAUUGUGAACAUUUUUUAUAACUUUUUUCUAUGAUUAUAUCUUAUACAAGUGCAGUGCUUUGAAACAUGGGAAAUAUUGAAUAGAUGCAAAAUGACUUACAUUUCAGCCAUGCAGCUGAGAGACAAAAUGACAUUACGCCAAACAAAAGAACCUGUUCUUAAUCUCUUCUCCAUGACUACCAGAUUUCAUGCCACACUUUGAAAUAUUGCUCUUUGGCAUACUCAUAAAAAAGUAGG